CAGGCUUAACACAUGCAAGUCGAGGGGCAGCAUGGUCUUAGCUUGCUAAGGCCGAUGGCGACCGGCGCACGGGUGAGUAACACGUAUCCAACCUGCCGUCUACUCUUGGACAGCCUUCUGAAAGGAAGAUUAAUACAAGAUGGCAUCAUGAGUCCGCAUGUUCACAUGAUUAAAGGUAUUCCGGUAGACGAUGGGGAUGCGUUCCAUUAGAUAGUAGGCGGGGUAACGGCCCACCUAGUCUUCGAUGGAUAGGGGUUCUGAGAGGAAGGUCCCCCACAUUGGAACUGAGACACGGUCCAAACUCCUACGGGAGGCAGCAGUGAGGAAUAUUGGUCAAUGGGCGAGAGCCUGAACCAGCCAAGUAGCGCGAAGGAUGACUGCCCUAUGGGUUGUAAACUUCUUUUAUAAAGGAAUAAAGUCGGGUAUGUAUACCCGUUUGCAUGUACUUUAUGAAUAAGGAUCGGCUAACUCCGUGCCAGCAGCCGCGGUAAUACGGAGGAUCCGAGCGUUAUCCGGAUUUAUUGGGUUUAAAGGGAGCGUAGAUGGAUGUUUAAGUCAGUUGUGAAAGUUUGCGGCUCAACCGUAAAAUUGCAGUUGAUACUGGAUAUCUUGAGUGCAGUUGAGGCAGGCGGAAUUCGUGGUGUAGCGGUGAAAUGCUUAGAUAUCACGAAGAA
This 674-nucleotide ribosomal RNA is filed under the name uncultured bacterium. Its description in RNAcentral is "bacterial SSU rRNA". It matches the Rfam family "Bacterial small subunit ribosomal RNA", at positions 43 to 706 of the family's 1533-position model. The record is from RNAcentral.